GAACGGACAGAGACGGCGAAGUUUGACGGUCUGGAAAGCAGAGAUCAGCGGGGCUGACUGCUUGGGAGCACCAAGUAUCCGGACAGCGCCUCUCGGGGGUUCCAAGGAGAGAACCGCGAUCUGUUUCAGCACCGGGGCUCAGGACAGUUCCCAGAAGGCUCCGUUUCGGCGCCAGAACCCUGGACAGCUCCCCCAGACUUCAGUGAGGAACCUUGUGCCAAGCAUUGUACAUACAGCAUAUCAUGCCAUCUUCAACCCUAGGACAUGGGUGUUACUGUGCCCAGGUGACAUUUGGGGAACCCAAGGCCCCGAAAAAGGCAGAAAAAUAACCCACGCAGGGACUCUCAGCCCACAAGUGAAGCUGUAAGUCAACCCCAUCCGUCCAACUCUAAAUCCCAUGUCUCUGACGUGCCUGGGUGGGAGUUGGGCCCUUGGAGAUCAGACCCUGCCUCUCUCCAGGAGAACCGGGAAUGGAAAACAGGGAGGCAGCACAGAGGCAGGAAGCCCAGGUGUCACAGCUUGGCUCAGCCACGGACCAUGUAUGGGGUUGGUCACAUCACUCGGACGCCCCCACAAGCCUGGAGAUAGAAAAUACCUGACUCUAAACCCAAGACCUCUAACCACCUCAUGGCGCUUUCCCGGGGAACUCAAUGAGGGAAUGGCGUUUAAAGCCCUCCAUAGACCAGGGUUCUCAGGGUACUUUUCUAUUAAAAAAAAAAUUUUUUUUUGGCUGGUUGUGGUGGCUCAUGCCUGUAAUCCCAGCACUUUGGGAGGCUGA
This 778-nucleotide long non-coding RNA is filed under the name Macaca mulatta (Rhesus monkey). Its description in RNAcentral is "lncRNA (ENSMMUG00000054614.1)". The record is from RNAcentral. Lineage: Eukaryota; Metazoa; Chordata; Mammalia; Primates; Cercopithecidae.